UGGGGAAUUUUGCGCAAUGGGCGAAAGCCUGACGCAGCGACGCCGCGUGGAGGAUGAAGACCCUUGGGUCGUAAACUCCUGUCAGGUGGGAAGAAAACCGUCCGGUUAAUACCCGGGUGGCUUGACUGUACCACCGGAGGAAGCCCCGGCUAACUCCGUGCCAGCAGCCGCGGUAAUACGGAGGGGGCAAGCGUUGUUCGGAAUCACUGGGCGUAAAGGGCGCGUAGGCGGCCUGACCAAGUCGGGUGUGAAAGCCCUCGGCUCAACCGAGGAAUUGCAUCCGAUACUGGUUGGCUAGAGUCCGGGAGGGGGUAGCGGAAUUCCCAGUGUAGCGGUGAAAUGCGUAGAUAUUGGGAAGAACACCGGUGGCGAAGGCGGCUACCUGGACCGGUACUGACGCUGAGGCGCGAAAGCCAGGGGAGCGAAUGGGAUUAGAUACCCCCGUAGUCC
Molecule: ribosomal RNA, 450 nt
Filed under: uncultured prokaryote
Description: bacterial SSU rRNA
Rfam family: Bacterial small subunit ribosomal RNA
Source: RNAcentral